GUCUCCCCUGUAUUUGCACGGCGUCGCACAAGUACAAGAGUAUAAUUUUACUAUGCCAAAUAUAACCACACGUAUGAAUAUCCACAGAUAAUCAUACACCAUUCACAACUAUAUUUAUUUAGUCAUAAAUCCACAUAUAUUAUUUAAAACGUUUACUACCUGAAAACUGGUUUUGAAAUACUAAGUUACGAAAGAUCCGAGAAAACCUUUUAAAAACUAUUUUUCACACGAAAACCUUUUUCUUUUUAAAAUCACGCUACCAUGAGGGGUAGAAAACCAUUUUCAUUUUACAAAACCAUAAAUCCUUUAUUCAUUUCCAGAAAUCCAAAUUAUUCAAUUGUAAUAAUAAACUGAACCAAUAACUGUCUAAGUCAAAUAAUCCGAAAUAAUGAAAGUAACAGCAAAAGUAAACAAACCGGGGCGGAAGCUCUAUCGACUACU
This 441-nucleotide long non-coding RNA is filed under the name Ananas comosus (pineapple). RNAcentral describes it as "long non-coding RNA (ACOM_LNC024587)". The record is from RNAcentral. Lineage: Eukaryota; Viridiplantae; Streptophyta; Magnoliopsida; Poales; Bromeliaceae.